Ictalurus punctatus (channel catfish) is the source of this 701-nucleotide long non-coding RNA. The record is from Ensembl. Lineage: Eukaryota; Metazoa; Chordata; Actinopteri; Siluriformes; Ictaluridae.
UCUCUCACAGCCUCAUCUGAGUGGAGCAGCAGAGCUGGGCACUAACUCAAGAAUCUGCUGUUUGUUAAUAACUGGAAUGUGUUCUGGGAGCGUCCUUGGUUGUUUCGUCCUGAUGGCCUGCACCCCAGCAGCCUCGGAGCGGAACCGUUGUCAGACAACAUCUCCAAGACGCUACACACCAAGUGACUGCCUACCAUACUAGAGAUCCUGAUCCUUUCUGCUCUCCGGACCUGCCCGAUCCGUUUCGGAUGUCCUACCUCUGGAUGGAGCUCUCAUCUACUCCAAUUCCAGACUGCUGGGACUACGGCUGCUUCUAAGGCCAAACAGACUUCAUAUAAAUCCAUAAUGAACUUUUUCACACUAUCCGUUGUUACCCAGAUGAGGACGGGUUCCCUUCUGAGUCGGGUUCCUCUCAAGGUUUCUUCCUCUUAAAACAUCUCAGGGAGUUUUUCCUCACCACCGUCACCACCGGCUCGCUCAAUAGGGAUAAAUUCGUACUCUUAAUAUCUGUAUACUGUGUUUAUAUAUUUCUGUAAAGCUGCUUUGAGACAAUGUCUAUUGUAAAAACGCUAUACAAAUAAAAUGUAAUUGAUUUAAUGAGUUGAUGUAACUGAAAUUGCUAGUAAAUACUCAGAGAAUUUACUCUGAGAGUAGCCUAUACUUUGUUUACGUACAGCAUGUUAGUAGAAAGUAGUAGAGAG